CGGAGGUGAGUAAUGUCUGGGAAACUGCCUGAUGGAGGGGGAUAACUACUGGAAACGGUAGCUAAUACCGCAUAACGUCGCAAGACCAAAGAGGGGGACCUUCGGGCCUCUUGCCAUCGGAUGUGCCCAGAUGGGAUUAGCUAGUAGGUGGGGUAACGGCUCACCUAGGCGACGAUCCCUAGCUGGUCUGAGAGGAUGCCAGCCACACUGGAACUGAGACACGGUCCAG
RNAcentral lists this ribosomal RNA (229 nucleotides) under uncultured bacterium. RNAcentral describes it as "partial 16S ribosomal RNA". It matches the Rfam family "Bacterial small subunit ribosomal RNA", at positions 105 to 334 of the family's 1533-position model. The record is from RNAcentral.